RNAcentral lists this ribosomal RNA (235 nucleotides) under uncultured bacterium. RNAcentral's name for it is "partial 16S ribosomal RNA". It matches the Rfam family "Bacterial small subunit ribosomal RNA", at positions 96 to 334 of the family's 1533-position model. The record is from RNAcentral.
UGGCGGACGGGUGAGUAAUGUCUGGGAAACUGCCUGAUGGAGGGGGGUAACUACUGGAAACGGUAGCUAAUACCGCAUAACGUCGCAAGACCAAAGAGGGGGACCUUCGGGCCUCUUGCCAUCGGAUGUGCCCAGAUGGGAUUAGCUAGUAGGUGGGGUAACGGCUCACCUAGGCGACGAUCCCUAGCUGGUCUGAGGGGAUGACCGGCCACACUGGAACUGAGACACGGUCCAG